CUAACCUAUUUUAUGUUUUUUUUUAAUGUAUUUUUAGAAUGCACAUUUUAUGUAUCUUAUCUGUUAUACUGCCGUUUUGCGGUGCAGACAUUAUCAAUUAUUCAAAUGAUGACUAUCUCCUACUUGAGGAUACAGAUAAUCCUUUUUUAAACGAAGCAUACGGAGAAGUUUUUCACGUUACUAAUCUAAGCUUUUAUAACGAUAUUUUUGAAAAAGAAUUAAAUUUUUUUAAAAACUAAAACAAUACAAUUGAUCGGGAAGUAAGCUUGGAAUUGAAUUUAAUCAAAACACUCCUUUCUGAACUUACACCUCACAAAAUUGCCAUACAUAGUAUCAUUGAACUAGGCAAAAUUUUUAAAUGGAUCACUGGAACACCAGACCAUGAUGACAUGAUAACUAAGAAAUAAAAUAACAGGUUGGACUUCGCCUACAGUGAUAGACGACCAAUCUAUAUAAUAGAACAGGAGUUAAGUAUUUUACGACAGGGUAACUUAUCCGUUCUUGAAUACUACAAUUUAGUUAAUAAAAAGUUAACCCUUUUGAUAAA
Non-coding RNA from Drosophila virilis, 547 nucleotides. The record is from RefSeq and is a predicted model, not a curated record. NCBI's taxonomy places the organism in Eukaryota, Metazoa, Arthropoda, Insecta, Diptera, Drosophilidae.